Long non-coding RNA from Apis mellifera (honey bee), 848 nucleotides. RefSeq lists it as uncharacterized. The transcript is spliced from 2 exons. Lineage: Eukaryota; Metazoa; Arthropoda; Insecta; Hymenoptera; Apidae. The record is from RefSeq and is a predicted model, not a curated record.
UUAUAUUGGAGCAAAUUUGGAAUAAAAAUGAAAAGUAGCCAGCUUUAAAAUUUAUUCGAAAGAAUUUAUCAUUUUGAUGUAACGAUGAAAAAUUGUACUUGUCGAGUAUUCACGACAGGGGACUAUUUUCAAGCGUUUAUUUCUCUAUAUAUGCUCGCAAUAUUUCCUUAUUCUAAAUUUGAUAUUCGAUAUGACAUGAGGUAUAGGUGAAAUUUAUAGGGAUCAUUGAAAUCGCGAUGGAUAUUCGAUAAGGUGUCGUUUCAAACAUUAAUUUCAAGUGUAUUUUUUUUUCAUUUUUUAAUUUUCAUAAAUUUAUAUAUAAUAAAAUGUCAAUUAUCGGAUCUAAUUGGAAAGUAUUUUGUAAUAUUAUAUUUUCUUCAAAUCUAUUUCUUUGGUUAUAUUGAAAUUAUCGAUUCGAUAUAAAUUUUGCAUAUAUAUUUGCAGAUAUUACAAUUUAAUCUCAUGAAUAUGAUAUACUGCUUAUCGAAAGAUGAAUAAUUUAUGAUUCAUGAUAUACAUUUCUCUACUUAUAACAAGAAUAUAACGCGAUCAAAUGUGGAUAUAGAUGGAUAUAGUGAUCUACAUACGUAAUUUCUUGAUGACUAGAUAAAACAAAGUGAUUUCCAAGUGUGGCUGUGAAUCUCAAAAUUUCACGAGGGAUUUUGGACAAUGGUCGUAAUUCGAAAAAUCCGAGGGAAAGGGAAUAUAAGCCAGACAUAAGAGAUGCAGGAAGAGAUAAAGGAGAAUAGAAGGAUAGAAGUUGUCCGGGAGGAAAUGCUGAGAGACGAGGGUGCGCCAACCAAAGGGCCACACCCUGUCAUUCAAUACGCAUACACGUGUUCAAUUAG